UUGACAACUAACAUUUGGGUUGCUAAAGCAACAUGUGCUAGUUACAUGGUCAUAACUGCACACUUCAUUGAUGUAUCUUGGCGUUUGAGGAAGCUGAUUAUUGGGUUUAAGUAUAUUACAGAUCACAAAGGAGCAACAAUAUCAUGAGUUCUGCUUGACUGUUUGGCUGAGUGGGGCAUAGAGAAGCUUUUAACUGUGACAGUUGACAAUGCAACUGCAAAUACCUCUGCUUUGAAAAAAUUUCAGGAGGCAUUCAGCUUAAGGAACAGUGAAGCAUUUGUUUUAAAUGGAGAGUGUAUGCAUAUGAGGUGUUGUGCGCACAUACUCAAUUUGAUUGUUAGGGACGGGUUGCAUGAAUUGAGUGAGAAUGUGGCAGCCAUACGAAAUGUAGUUCAGUAGGUGAGGUCUUCUACUUCAAGAUGUGAUUCAUUUGAGCAAAAAGUUGUCUCAGGGAAGAUGACUAGAGGGAGUCUACCGUUGGACAUCAAAACAAGGUGGAAUUCUACUUACUUAAUGUUGUCAAGAGCUAUUGAUUUUAGAUUGGCAUUCGAUAGAAUGGAAGCAGAAGACAAGAUGUACAAUGACUACUUUAAUGAGGUUGAGAAUGGGAAAAAAAGAUUGGGCCACCUACAAGAGCUGAUUGGAAUGCCGUAGAAAGGUUAGUGAGAUUUCUAAGUAUAUUCUACAAUUCUACUUUGGUUGUGUCUGCUUCAACUUCAGUUGCUUGUUAUAAGUGUUAUGGAGAGAUAGUGACUAUAGAGAGGAAUUUGAUGACACUAAGCAAUAGUAUUGAUAGUGACUUGAAAUCAAAGGUGGAUGUUAUGUUAUUGAAGUUUGAUAAGUACUGGGAUGGAAUGAGAAAUAUCAAUGUUUUCCUGAUUGUUGCAAGUGUGUUUGAUCCACUGAAAAAAAUGCAAUUUGCUAAGAUGUGCUUUGACAAGCUUUAUGGGAAAGAUACAUCCGAUUCUAAGGAGAUGAGUGAUAGGAUCACCACUUUUUUGACAUCUCUGUUUAAGGAGUAUAGCAGUCGGUUUCAGAAAGUAUCAAGUGGUCAGUCAUCACAGUCCACUCAGACAUCGACUUCUACUAGCCAAGGUGAGUCUACUGAUUUAAUGUCUGAUAGUAUGGGUUAUGAGAGAAUGGACUUUGCUUAUAAGGAGUUAGUUGAUGAGAUUGGGGUUGACGAUGGUAGGGAUGAGUUGGAUGUCUAUUUGAAUGAAAAAGUGGAAAAUCCUAGAACUAUUGUUGGAUCAGAGUGGGAUGUAUUGUCUUGGUGGAGGCUUAAUAGUGGUAGGUAUCCAGUUUUAUCAGAGAUAGCUAGGGAAGUUCUUGCAAUGCAGGUUUCAUCAGUUGCAUCUUAAAGUGCAUUUAGUACUAGUGGGAGGGUCAUAGAGCCACACAGAAGCUGCUUAACGCAUUAUAUGGUGGAAGCUUUGAUAUGCAUGCAGCAAUGAUGAAGAACGAGAAUCACUUUGGUGAGAAAGCAAUUGUUUCAAAUACACAAUUGCUUGCUGACAUUGAACUGCUUGAUAAACUUGAAAAAGAGUUUGAAUGUCAAGACUUAAACUAGAAGCUUGCAUAAACACAUCACUCGGAUGUAAGGAGCAUGAAGAAGUUGAAGUAUGGGACUAAGAAGAAGCUUGAGGAGGUCGUUGUUGGUGGCUUGCAUUGGAGGUUGUUAUU
Molecule: non-coding RNA, 1683 nt
Organism: Camelina sativa (false flax)
Lineage: Eukaryota; Viridiplantae; Streptophyta; Magnoliopsida; Brassicales; Brassicaceae
Source: RefSeq, a predicted model, not a curated record